GAUGAAGAACGUAGCGAAAUGCGAUAACUAAUGUGAAUUGCAGAAUUCAGUGAAUCAUCGAAUCUUUGAACGCACAUUGCGCCCCUUGGUAUUCCGAGGGGCAUGCCUGUUCGAGCGUCAUUAUCACCCCUCAAGCUUUGCUUGGUGUUGGGGCCUGCUGUAAUAGGCAGCCCUUAAAAUCAGUGGCGGUGCUUCAAGGCUCUAAGCGUAGUAAUUCUCCUCGCUAUAGUGUCUAGUGGUUGCCAGCCAGAACCCCCCAUUUUUUAUGAUUGACCUCGGAUCAGGUAGGGAUACCCGCUGAACUUAAGCAUAUCAAUAAGCGGAGGA
This 327-nucleotide unclassified non-coding RNA is filed under the name soil metagenome. RNAcentral describes it as "partial contains 5.8S ribosomal RNA, internal transcribed spacer 2, and large subunit ribosomal RNA". The stretch from base 1 to 120 matches the Rfam family "5.8S ribosomal RNA", at positions 35 to 154 of the family's 154-position model. The record is from RNAcentral.